This is a long non-coding RNA of Penaeus indicus, 809 nucleotides long. RefSeq lists it as uncharacterized. The record is from RefSeq and is a predicted model, not a curated record. NCBI's taxonomy places the organism in Eukaryota, Metazoa, Arthropoda, Malacostraca, Decapoda, Penaeidae. The transcript is spliced from 2 exons.
UGAUGCACAAGCAGCUCCUCCUUUUCCACAACGCCGUCUCGGCCUACUUCAGCGGCAACCAGACGGCCCUCGAAGCCACCCUAAAGCAGUUCAACAUUAAGCUACGCAGUCCUAACUCCGCCCCCCCAUCCUGGCUGGAACAAUCAACGCCCGAGACGACGACUUUUCAGACAAUCUUUGGCACUUUAAGUUCUCCGACUUCGAAGUAGAAUAGAGAAAGAGAGAGAGAGGAAAGGAGAAGGAGAGAGAGAGAGAGAGGAAAGGAGAAGGAGAAGGAGAGAGAGAGAGAGAGGAAAGGAGAAGUAGAAGGAGAGAAAGAGAGAAGAAGAUGAAAGAGAGAGAGGAAAGGAGAAAGAGAGGAGAGAAAGAGGAAAGGAGGAGAGAGAGAAGGAGAAAGAGAGAGAGGAGAAGAUGAAGGAGAGGGAGAGAGAAGGAGAAGUAUACAUUCCAUUUGAGAGAAAGAAAAUGAGAAGGAAAGAGAGAGGAGAAGGAAAAACAGAGAAAGAGGAAAAGGGAGAAAGAGAAGGAGAAGGAAAAAAGGAGGAAGAGAAAAGGAGAGAGAAGGAGAGUGAAAGAGAGAGAGAGAGAGAAGAGGAGAAGUUAGGGCAUUUUUUUCUAGUCGAGGGGAUACUUAAAUAAAGAGAGAGAAAAAAAAAAGAAAAUGAGUGAAAAAGAAAGAAAGGAAAAAAACGAUGAACGAAAGAAAAAGAAAAACAGUAAAGGCAUUUUUUUUUUUAUUCACUCAAAAGGAAAUAGAAAAGAAAAGAAAAAAUGGUUAAAAGAUAAGAGAGUUUGGAUUUACAUAUAUA